UGCACAUUAAGAAGCAAGAUUUUAAUAAACUCAGAAGCGGCAAACAAGGUUGCCUGGAACAGACAAGUGGAAAGAAAGAAAAAAUAAAAGGCAGAAAAAAGAAAUAAGGCAGAUCCUUUUUGAUGAAAACAUAAACUAACAGGAUGCUGAUUGCCUCAGAGUGAAGAAAGGAUUUGGAUAUUUUAAGGUUUAGCCAUCUUGGGUAGAAGUUAAUUUCUUACUGAUUUCAAAUAUAAGAGGUAAACAUCAGACAGUGGAAACUGUCUAAGCAAUAAAAAAACAUAGCAAAGGCAGUGCCAGAAAAUGGCCAGAUAAACUGUGGUACAAAUCUCAAGAGACAAAGGAUAGAAAUAACUUCUACAAUUCCAAAUAAGAGAAGCACCAAAGAAUACUACUGGUUGGUGAGCAGCUUAAAGGUGAGGUACAACACUGACACUGUGCCACGACUUCUGAAGUAUUUACUGCUUUAUUGACCAUUGCUACCAAGAAAAUCAAUUGUAAUUAGCUGGAGUCCACAGCUAAAAACUACAAGCUAAAGGGGUCAGAAUCAGGAAGGAACGAGGAGAGAAAAGGUCAGAGAAAAUACUUAGGCCAAAUAAUUUGAAAUUGGCUAUGCCGAUUGGUAUUGGUAUUAAACUUGUCCAAAGUCUUCGGGAAAUGGAUGAGUAUUUCAGUUGAUACUGAUUGAAAGCUGUUAAUACUAGAAUUAUUUCUGGCGACAUGAUGGAUGGAUAUGGGUAGAAGAGGCUUUUGAAAGAGCAAAAAUAAUGCUUGUCUUUAAAAGGAGGAGAAAGAAAUUGCAGACUGGUUACUCUAAAUUUCUUUCACAGUUAAAGUCAACUCGAAGAAAAACAGGAAAAGAGCAAAUAUGAGCAUGGAUUCUUUAAAGUCUAAUGAAGUAAGACGCAUUGUGAUGUGGAAAAUAGCUGAUGUCAUAUUGCACAGUUUUAGGAAGACUUCUGGCACCAUCUCAGGUCUGCCUCUGGUCUGAUCAAGGAUCACUUGUCCUCAAAGGGAUAAAUGACAACACUAUACCUCUCAUCUUAGAUCUCUAGGAGUCAUCAACCAAACAGGAAACCUCACUGCAAUCACCUCCAGAUGUAUGAAAUGAGAAUGCUCACAUACAGGACUACCGCAUUUCAUCCAAAAAACCUCACACAAAACAAACAAACAAAAAAAACCAGCACCAAAACCCACACUAAAUUACAGUAACCUGUGUAAAUAGCCUGAAGAAUGUUUUCAACACAUGAAUAUAUAAUACU
RNAcentral lists this long non-coding RNA (1262 nucleotides) under Phasianus colchicus (ring-necked pheasant). Its description in RNAcentral is "lncRNA (ENSPCLG00000022015.1)". Lineage: Eukaryota; Metazoa; Chordata; Aves; Galliformes; Phasianidae. The record is from RNAcentral.